Molecule: long non-coding RNA, 241 nt
Organism: Oxyura jamaicensis (ruddy duck)
Lineage: Eukaryota; Metazoa; Chordata; Aves; Anseriformes; Anatidae
Exons: 2
Source: RefSeq, a predicted model, not a curated record
AAGUAUUUUCCGCUUAGAAAUGCCAUUUAAAGCCUCGUCCUCGCUCCGGGCACCCUGCGUCCUCCCCCCGCCGUGUGCCUGCGCCCCUCGCCGCGCACCUCUCGCAUCCCGGCGCGGCUCGGGGAAGCCAAAUCGCGCAGUCACAUCGGCAGCUAACGAAGCUCGGCGGCUGCAGCCCACACGACUUUGGUUCCCUGCAUUUAUCCUUCAAUAAAAGCCGAUUCCUUUAUUAGAAACAGGA